GUGAAGAAAAAGAUGUCACAAAGCUGAUGGAAAAUGGGUCGGCACUCGGCUGUAUUUCAACACGGAGGACGUCUGGCAGCAGCAAAAAGAAAUUCAAUUGACGAUACUCAACUGUCGAAGUGAAGAAGAAGUUGUCACAAAGCUGAUGGAAAAUGUGUCGGCACUUGGCUGUAUUUCAACACGAAGGACGUCUGGCAGCAGCAAAAAGAAAUUCAACUGACGAUAAUCAAUUGUUGGAGUGAAGAAGAAUUUGUCACAAAGCUGAUGGGAAACAUGUCGGCUGUAUUUCAACACGGAGGACGUCUAGCAGCAGCAAAAAGAAAUUCAACUGACGAUAAUCAAUUGUUGGAGUGAAGAAGAAGUUGUCACAAAGCUGAUGGAAAAUGUGUCGGCACUUGGCUGUAUUUCAACACGAAGGACGUCUGGCAGCAGCAAAAAGAAAUUCAACUGACGAUAAUCAAUUGUUGGAGUGAAGAAGAAGAUGUCACAAAGCUGAUGGAAAAUGGGUCGGCACUCGGCUGUAUUUCAACACGGAGGACGUCUGGCAGCAGCAAAAAGAAAUUCAACUGACGAUACUCAACUGUCGAAGUGAAGAAGAAGAUGUCACAAAGCUGAUGGAAAAUGGGUCGGCACUCGGCUGUAUUUCAACACGAAGGACGUCUGGCAGCAGCAAAAAGAAAUUCAACUGACGAUAAUCAAUUGUUGGAGUGAAGAAGAAGAUGUCACAAAGCUGAUGGAAAAUGGGUCGGCACUCGGCUGUAUUUCAACACGGAGGACGUCUGGCAGCGGCAAAAAGAAAUUCAAUUGACGAUACUCAACUGUCGAAGUGAAGAAGAAGUUGUCACAAAGCUGAUGGAAAAUGUGUCGGCACUUGGCUGUAUUUCAACACGAAGGACGUCUGGCAGCAGCAAAAAGAAAUUCAACUGACGAUAAUCAAUUGUUGGAGUGAAGAAGAAGAUGUCACAAAGCUGAUGGGAAAUGUGUCGGCACUCGUCUUCGUUUCAACCCGGAGGAAGAUUGGCAGCAUCAAUAAGAAGCUCAUCUUUAUGUCAACUGUUGAAAGGAUUUGUUUGCAUUAUAUUAUAAGUUUAAAUUACAUUUAAUCUGCAUAUUAGUUGAAGUUUUAUAGGAACAGAACAUUUAACUGGAUCAUGGACUAUCCACCGACGAAGGAAGAAUUUGUCAUUGAUCUGAUGGAAAAUGUGUCGGCACUCGGCUUCGUUUCAACCCGGAUGAAGAUUUGCAGCAUCAAAAAGAAAUUUAACUGACGAUAAUCAACUGUCGAAGUGAAGAAGAAUUUGUCACAAAGCUGAUGGGAAACAUGUCGGCUGUAUUUCAACACGGAGGACGUCUAGCAGCAGCAAAAAGAAAUUCAACUGACGAUAAUCAAUUGUUGGAGUGAAGAAGAAGAUGUCACAAAGCUGAUGGAAAAUGGGUCAGCACUCGGCUGUAUUUCAACACGAAGGACGUCUGGCAGCAGCAAAAAGAAAUUCAACUGACGAUAAUCAAUUGUUGGAGUGAAGAAGAAGAUGUCACAAAGCUGAUGGAAAAUGGGUCGGCACUCGGCUGUAUUUCAACACGGAGGACGUCUGGCAGCAGCAAAAAGAAAUUCAAUUGACGAUACUCAACUGUCGAAGUGAAGAAGAAGAUGUCACAAAGCUGAUGGAAAAUGGGUCGGCCCUCGGCUUCGUUUCAAUCCGGAGGAAGAUUGGCAGCAUCAAUAAGAAGCUCAUCUUAAUUAAGUUGUCCCCCCCUUUACGCAUUAGCGCUCAUCUCUCAUCCACUCAUCCAACACAUUGACUAUCGCCGGCCGGCAACACACACAUAUUAUACACAUUACCCGUUUUAUAUUAUAUAAAAUUAUUAAUAUCUACAUAGUUUAAGUUAUUGUAUAUUUUUUUUUUAUUAUUUGAAUGCAUUCAUAUGAUCAGUUGCGUAUUUAGAAAUUUUAGGAUAAGAGCAACACAUAUUUGGUUGCCUCCCCCCCAUUAAAUAAAAAAUUAAAAAAACUUCUA
Rhopalosiphum padi (bird cherry-oat aphid) is the source of this 2015-nucleotide long non-coding RNA. RefSeq lists it as uncharacterized. The record is from RefSeq and is a predicted model, not a curated record. Lineage: Eukaryota; Metazoa; Arthropoda; Insecta; Hemiptera; Aphididae. The transcript has 13 exons.